GGGGGCGUAGUUCAAUUGGUAGAGCACAUGCUUUGCACGUAUGAAGUUAUCGGUUCGAGUCCGAUCGUCUCCA
Molecule: transfer RNA, 73 nt
Filed under: Gonatozygon brebissonii
Lineage: Eukaryota; Viridiplantae; Streptophyta; Zygnematophyceae; Desmidiales; Gonatozygaceae
Description: tRNA-Ala
Rfam family: tRNA
About the family: Transfer RNA (tRNA) molecules are approximately 80 nucleotides in length. Their secondary structure includes four short double-helical elements and three loops (D, anti-codon, and T loops). Further hydrogen bonds mediate the characteristic L-shaped molecular structure. tRNAs have two regions of fundamental functional importance: the anti-codon, which is responsible for specific mRNA codon recognition, and the 3' end, to which the tRNAs corresponding amino acid is attached (by aminoacyl-tRNA synthetases). tRNAs cope with the degeneracy of the genetic code in two manners: having more than one tRNA (with a specific anti-codon) for a particular amino acid; and 'wobble' base-pairing, i.e. permitting non-standard base-pairing at the 3rd anti-codon position.
Source: RNAcentral